RNAcentral lists this ribosomal RNA (253 nucleotides) under uncultured bacterium. RNAcentral's name for it is "partial 16S ribosomal RNA". It matches the Rfam family "Bacterial small subunit ribosomal RNA", at positions 524 to 776 of the family's 1533-position model. The record is from RNAcentral.
UACGUAGGGUGCGAGCGUUAAUCGGAAUUACUGGGCGUAAAGUGUGCGCAGGCGGCCGAGCAAGUCGAGUGUGAAAGCCCCGAGCUUAACUUGGGAACUGCGCUCGAAACUACUUGGCUAGAGUGUGGCAGAGGGAGGUGGAAUUCCACGUGUAGCGGUGAAAUGCGUAGAUAUCUGGAGGAAUACCAGUGGCGAAAGCGGCUUCCUGGACCAGCACCGACGUUCAGGCACGAAAGCGUGGGGAGCAAACAGG